This 76-nucleotide transfer RNA is filed under the name Tongtianella jiaweipingae. Its description in RNAcentral is "Actinomyces sp. zg-332 tRNA-His". It matches the Rfam family "tRNA". Rfam says of the family: Transfer RNA (tRNA) molecules are approximately 80 nucleotides in length. Their secondary structure includes four short double-helical elements and three loops (D, anti-codon, and T loops). Lineage: Bacteria; Bacillati; Actinomycetota; Actinomycetes; Actinomycetales; Actinomycetaceae. The record is from RNAcentral.
GUGGCUGUAGCUCAGUCGGUAGAGCAUCUGGUUGUGGUCCAGAAGGUCGCGGGUUCGAGCCCCGUCAGCCACCCCA